CCUACGGGCGGCAGCAGUAGGGGAUAUUGCACAAUGGGGGGAACCCUGAUGCAGCGACGCCGCGUGGGUGAAGAAGCGCCUCGGCGCGUAAAGCCCUGUCAGCAGGGAAGAAAAUGACGGUACCUGAAGAAGAAGCCCCGGCUAACUACGUGCCAGCAGCCGCGGGAAUACGUAGGGGGCAAGCGUUAUCCGGAUUUACUGGGUGUAAAGGGGGCGCAGACGGCGAUGCAAGCCAGGAGUGAAAGCCCGGGGCCCAACCCCGGGACUGCGCUUGGAACUGCGUGGCUGGAGUGCAGGAGGGGCAGGCGGAAUUCCUGGUGUAGCGGUGAAAUGCGUAGAUAUCAGGAGGAACACCGGUGGCGAAGGCGGCCUGCUGGACUGCAACUGACGUUGAGGCCCGAAAGCGUGGGGAGCAAACAGGAUUAGAUACCCGAGUAGUC
Molecule: ribosomal RNA, 440 nt
Filed under: uncultured bacterium
Lineage: Bacteria
Description: partial 16S ribosomal RNA
Rfam family: Bacterial small subunit ribosomal RNA
Source: RNAcentral